This 449-nucleotide ribosomal RNA is filed under the name uncultured bacterium. RNAcentral's name for it is "bacterial SSU rRNA". It matches the Rfam family "Bacterial small subunit ribosomal RNA", at positions 29 to 524 of the family's 1533-position model. The record is from RNAcentral.
AACGAACGCUGGCGGCAGGCUUAACACAUGCAAGUCGAACGAUCCUUCGGGAUAGUGGCAGACGGGUGAGUAACGCGUGGGAACCUUCCCUAUGGUACGGAAUAGCUCCGGGAAACUGGAAUUAAUACCGUAUACGCCCUUCGGGGGAAAGAUUUAUCGCCAUAGGAUGGGCCCGCGUUGGAUUAGCUUGUUGGUGAGGUAAUGGCUCACCAAGGCGACGAUCCAUAGCUGGUCUUAGAGGAUGAUCAGCCACACUGGGACUGAGACACGGCCCAGACUCCUACGGGAGGCAGCAGUGGGGAAUAUUGGACAAUGGGCGAAAGCCUGAUCCAGCCAUGCCGCGUGAGUGACGAAGGCCUUAGGGUUGUAAAGCUCUUUUGGCGGGGACGAUAAUGACGGUACCCGCAGAAUAAGCCCCGGCUAACUUUCGUGCCAGCAGCCGCGGUAAU